AAGUCGUAACAAGGUUUCCGUAGGUGAACCUGCGGAAGGAUCAUUAUCGUAGGGGCUUCGGCCCUGUCGAGAUAGACCCUUGCCUUUAUGAGUACCGUCCGUUUCCUCGGCAGGUCUGCUGCCGAGGACAAAAAAAUAAACCCUUACCACCUGAUCAGUUGAAAAAAUAAAUAAAAAUUAAA
This 182-nucleotide unclassified non-coding RNA is filed under the name plant metagenome. Its description in RNAcentral is "partial contains small subunit ribosomal RNA and internal transcribed spacer 1". The stretch from base 1 to 46 matches the Rfam family "Eukaryotic small subunit ribosomal RNA", at positions 1786 to 1831 of the family's 1831-position model. The record is from RNAcentral.